AGCAGUCGCCGCGGUAAUGCGAAGGGUGCAAGCGUUAAUCGGAAUUACUGGGCGUAAAGCGUGCGUAGGCGGGUUUUUAAGUCAGAGGUGAAAUCCUGGAGCUCAACUCCAGAACUGCCUUUGAUACUGAAAGUCUUGAGUAUGGGAGAGGUGAGUGGAACUGCGAGUGUAGAGGUGAAAUUCGUAGAUAUUCGCAAGAACACCAGUGGCGAAGGCGGCUCACUGGCCCAUUACUGACGCUGAGGCACGAAAGCGUGGGGAGCAAACAGGAUUAGAUACCCGGGUAGUCCCUGUCUCUUAUAU
This 303-nucleotide ribosomal RNA is filed under the name uncultured bacterium. RNAcentral describes it as "partial 16S ribosomal RNA". It matches the Rfam family "Bacterial small subunit ribosomal RNA", at positions 507 to 809 of the family's 1533-position model. The record is from RNAcentral.